RNAcentral lists this ribosomal RNA (1042 nucleotides) under uncultured bacterium. RNAcentral describes it as "bacterial SSU rRNA". It matches the Rfam family "Bacterial small subunit ribosomal RNA", at positions 408 to 1469 of the family's 1533-position model. The record is from RNAcentral.
AUGAAGCCCUUCGGGGUGUAAAGCUCUUCGGCAGGGACGAUAAUGACGGUACCUGCAGAAGCAGCUGCGGCUAACUACGUGCCAGCAGCCGCGGUAAUACGUAGGCAGCGAGCGUUGUUCGGAGUUACUGGGCGUAAAGGGUGCGUAGGCGGCCUUUUAAGUUUGGUGUGAAAUCUCCCGGCUCAACUGGGAGGGUGCGCCGGAUACUGAAAGGCUAGAGUGCGGGAGAGGAAAGUGGAAUUCCUGGUGUAGCGGUGAAAUGCGUAGAUAUCAGGAGGAACACCGGUGGUGUAAACGGCUUUCUGGACCGUAACUGACGCUGAGGCACGAAAGCGUGGGGAGCAAACAGGAUUAGAUACCCUGGUAGUCCACGCCCUAAACGAUGCACGUUUGGUGUGGGUGAUUCAGUUCAUCCGUGCCGGAGCUAACGCGUUAAACGUGCCGCCUGGGGAGUACAGUCGCAAGGCUGAAACUCAAAGGAAUUGACGGGGGCCCGCACAAGCGGUGGAGCAUGUGGUUCAAUUCGACGCAACGCGAAGAACCUUACCUGGGCUCGAACGGCUGGCUAACGGUCGCUGAAAGGCGGCUACCCCGCAAGGGGGUCCAGUCGAGGUGCUGCAUGGCUGUCGUCAGCUCGUGUCGUGAGAUGUUGGGUUAAGUCCCGCAACGAGCGCAACCCUCGUCCUGUGUUGCCAACCCGAAAGGGCGCACUCGCAGGAGACCGCCAGCGAUAAGUUGGAGGAAGGUGGGGAUGACGUCAAGUCCUCAUGGCCUUUAUGUCCAGGGCUACACACGUGCUACAAUGGCCGGUACAAAGGGCAGCUAACCCGCGAGGGGGAGCCAAUCCCAAAAAACCGGUCUCAGUUCGGAUUGCAGGCUGCAACUCGCCUGCAUGAAGCUGGAAUCGCUAGUAAUGGCAGAUCAGCACGCUGCCGUGAAUACGUUCCCGGGCCUUGUACACACCGCCCGUCACACCAUGGGAGCGGGUUUCACCAGAAGUAGGUAGCCUAACCGCAAGGAGGGCGCUUACCACGGUGGAUUC